Molecule: ribosomal RNA, 253 nt
Filed under: uncultured bacterium
Lineage: Bacteria
Description: partial 16S ribosomal RNA
Rfam family: Bacterial small subunit ribosomal RNA
Source: RNAcentral
UACAGAGGGUGCAAGCGUUGUUCGGAAUUAUUGGGCGUAAAGGGCUCGUAGGCGGUUUGUCGCGUCGGGAGUGAAAACACACAGCUUAACUGUGUGCUUGCUUCCGAUACGGGCAGACUAGAGGUAUGCAGGGGAGAACGGAAUUCCUGGUGUAGCGGUGAAAUGCGCAGAUAUCAGGAGGAACACCGGUGGCGAAGGCGGUUCUCUGGGCAUUACCUGACGCUGAGGAGCGAAAGUGUGGGGAGCGAACAGG